RNAcentral lists this ribosomal RNA (441 nucleotides) under uncultured archaeon. Its description in RNAcentral is "bacterial SSU rRNA". It matches the Rfam family "Archaeal small subunit ribosomal RNA", at positions 406 to 847 of the family's 1478-position model. The record is from RNAcentral.
GCUGUUUACAUGCCUAAAAAGCAUGUAGAGUAAGAGCUGGGUAAGACUGGUGCCAGCCGCCGCGGUAAUACCAGCAGCUCGAGUGGUGAUCGUUAUUAUUGGGCCUAAAGCGUCCGUAGCCGGUCUGGUAAACUCUUGGGUAAAUCGGGCAGCUUAACUGUCCGAAUUCCGAAGAUACUGCUGGACUUGGGGCCGANAGAGGUUAGAGGUACUCCUGGGGUAGGGGUGAAAUCCUAUAAUCCUGGGGGGACCGCCAGUGGCGAAGGCGUCUAACCAGAGCGGACCCGACGGUGAGGGACGAAAGCCAGGGGCGCGAACGGGAUUAGAUACCCCGGUAGUCCUGGCCGUAAACGCUGCAUGCUAGGUGUUGCAUGCUCUACGGGGGCAUGCAGUGCCGAAGAGAAGUUGAUAAGCGUGCCGCCUGGGAAGUAUAUCGACAAG